This 3042-nucleotide long non-coding RNA is filed under the name Carassius auratus (goldfish). Its description in RNAcentral is "lncRNA (ENSCARG00000015856.1)". Lineage: Eukaryota; Metazoa; Chordata; Actinopteri; Cypriniformes; Cyprinidae. The record is from RNAcentral.
AUGCGCUUUGAAAUCCAGACCACACCAGGACCGUUGGUUUGGAAAGGACACAUGAGGGUACUGACUGUCUUGUUUUCAGAGCUCGUUAAAAGUGACAUUUGCUGUACAUUUGGAAUUCCAAAGCCUGUUCAGACAAAUUACGAGCUAAGUCAGUCCCCAACAAAGGCAGUUAGCCUUGUAGAAGUCGGUGAAUUAACCGAUGAAUACUCCUUGGCUGACUAUUUGAUUGGACAUGUGCAGAUGGUAACGUUAAAGCGAUUUUUCUGCUGCAAAGGAUGACAUUGAUGCAGCUUGUGAACUUGCCAUCAGAGGACUGUGUAUCUAUCUUAAUGAGGACUCUAAAGAUCUCAUUCAGGAGUAUGCGGUGAGUAGUUAGAGCUUAACUGAUGGAAUCUGUACUAUGUUCAACAAGCAAAAUAUUAAUACAUCUAAAAAACAUGGUUUCAUCAAAUAUGCACACUGCAACCUAAAUGUAAAAAAUUAUAAUUUUAUCCACUAGACAUGUAGCAUUAAUUGUAAUACAUAUUCAUCUUUUUUUCUGUCUUUAGGACAUGGAAGAAGAUCUUUUACAGUGUGCGAUUGAGAAGACUACCAUGGGCAUCUUCGUGAUAAAGCACACUGCAGACUAUGAAGCCCAUGAUGUAGGCAUUGUGCUAGAGGGUGUAGCAGUGCUUCAGGACAUCGACAGUGUGGAUUUUGCAACUUCAAUGUUUUUGGUCUAAUUUAUGCUCUUAACCUGCAGUACCCCACAAAGUUGCGUUUUACAUAUGAAAUUUAGCAAAAACUCAUCAUGGACUUGGAUGCGGGUGAAUUCUCUAUCAAGGCCCAAAAUUUCAAAUCUGAACUCCACCAGUGAGAUGGACUGAUUUUUGAAUGACUACUGAGACUACAAACAAUCAACCUCGGAAAAUUUCAGCAGCCUUCAUGCAAGACCACCGCAGAGGGUAAACCGUGAUCUUGUUGUUUAGACUGUUCCCCUUUGCCUGCUCUCGUUUCUUUAUCUUUUUUUUUUGUCUGAAUUUGGCCCUUCUUUGGACUGGCUCAGAAGUUGAUUGAUUAGACAGCUGAAUCUAUGAAACAUGGUUGAACUAGCAUAAAUAAGAUACUUUGUUUAUAGUUUAGGUAAGGGUCAGAUACUGUAUUUUCACAUUGUUUUGUAAUGUCUAUAUAUAAUUAUCAUUGAAACUAAAGCGUUUUUCUUGAAAUAACAUUUCCAGGUAGGGCUGCACGAUAUUGGGAAAAAAUGACAUUGCGAUAUUUUAUUUUUCUGCGAUAUAUAUUGCGAUAUGAAAUCUAAUCUAUUUUUUUCUUACAAACAAAAAUUGGGUGAGCACACUUACAUUCUCAUUUUAAAUGAUGUAAACAUCGACACCAUCGUGUCAAUUGAUUAAUAUGUGCAAGGGAGAGAGAGCAAGACAGCGCUCGUGUUGUUUGAAGCUGGUGAGCUUGCGGCCGGGGCUCACUCUCUCUCUCCCUCUCUCUUUCUCUCUUGCAUGCUCUCUCUCGUGCUCUCUCUCUCUCUCUCUCUCUCUCUCUCUCUCUCUCUCUGCCCUGUUAAACUGACAGGACUUAAAAACACAUAUAAAAGAUAAACUUUCACUCUAUGAUGGUUAAGCUGUACAAUUAAUCUGAGAAUCACAUUCGUCAAGGGCCGGGGAGCAGCUGGCCCGUACAGUUAAUGAAUAACGAAUCGACUACAACAGCCUACAUCGCACAUCCUGCGAUGUGACUAUCGUGCAGCCCUAGUUCCAGGUACUGGUGUUCAUGGGUACAGUUUUAAGGUUUCUGAGAGAAAUGAAAUAAAUUAGUGUUACAAUGUUGUAUUAGUUUUUAAACGCACAGUUACAUGCAGUAUAAUGUUACUUAUGUUUGUGAUAUUGUUUAAAAAAAAAAAAGAAAUCUUGUAAAACUUAUGAAGGUUUAAAUAUAUUGUUGAUCUACAUGUUAUGCAUACAAAAUGAACUGUGUUUGUUUUUAUACUAGUCUAAUUAAAACUGAUAUGUAUUUUUAUUAAAUUUAAUAAUCAGAGAAGUUAUUUAUGCUAUGCUUUUGAAAGCACAAUGUUAUUUAGACAUGCCAUUUAAAUUACACAUUGUUCAAAUUGUUAAAUAAAGGAUUUACAAAAGUUUUGUGUUACAUGAAAUGAAACAUGCGACAACAAACCAUUGAAAUGUAUUAAAAUUUAAUUUUAGUGAAGUUAUUAAAAUUAUGUUAAGAUAACUUGAUUUAAUUGCACAGAAUUAACAUGAUUGAAGCAGAUAUCUGAAAUAAAAAAAUAAUGUUAAACUAGCAUAACUGAAUCAUGUUAGUAUAACUUGAAAAGACUAUGUACACAUUACUUUUUGAAAUUGCAUAGGAUUAACACAACCGUAUUAUAAUGAAACCACAUAAAUGCAUAGGAUACUUUGAACUCAAACUGAAUGUGUGGAACCAAUGUCCAUAAUUCGAUUGAGUAAAUCCAACAAAUCUUUUUUUUCAGUGUAUUUACCUGACUGAUUAGUGACUUAGCUCAAUCAUAUGCUACAACAGUGCGUAUAAACAAAUAAUAAAGACAACUUAUGUAUACAUAGCCUGCUACACACGACUCCAAAGUUUCACUCACUCACACACACACACACACACACGCACACACACACGCACACACACACACACACACACACACAGAUAGCUUACAUAUAUGCUGUGUUUUAUUUCUGGUUAUGUAUUUUCUGCAUAUAGAUAUAUUCUGCAUUCUAUAGUAUUGUUCAAAUACCGCAUCAAGGAAAGAAAAAAAUUACUAGAAAUGAAAGAUACAGACAUAAAUUGAAGGCGGCGCGGUUUGGCUGCGCGCGUCUGCCUCUCGCGCUCUAGUCAUUGUUACAAAUUGUCGCACCUAGACGGCGACAUCGAGCUCGAGUCUGUUAAAAAACAACAACAUUUCAUCCUCUUUUCCUUCUGGCCAAAAUGCCUGAGCACGUUUGAGUGACCAUGGAGCGCGUUUGCCGUCAUGUAGUAAAACGUUGACACACCGGAGGAUUUGUCUCGGAGGCAUGAAAGUUUAAA